Oreochromis aureus is the source of this 1980-nucleotide long non-coding RNA. Lineage: Eukaryota; Metazoa; Chordata; Actinopteri; Cichliformes; Cichlidae. The record is from Ensembl.
GUGAGUGGUUAUUGAGCCUGCUCAGAGACGAAGACGCCGCUCUGCAUCACUCGGCUGUGUCACUGCACAGCUCUCACUGGAACUGCAGGACAGAGUAAAGCUCAAAGCACCAAAAGGCUGGAGCCACAGAGGAUUGUGGGUACUGUAGUCUUGCAGGUCAACGUUUGUGUCGCAAUGAAGAUGCAUACAGGGGAUUCGAGGGCGGUGAAAGGCAGCAGCUGUGUUCUUCAUCCUGGGGGGGCGUUGGAGGGUAUUUCCUGGGGCAGUUUCUGUGUGUGGCUGCAGCUCGAGGCUCUGCAGCUGUUUUCAGUGUGCGCGGCCUGAUUGUUGACUCUCAGUCUGAAGGUCACGGCGUGAUGCCGCCGGUCAGUGCACUGAAACUCAGCUGACUACCUCCAACCGGCCGCUGUGAUUGGCUGAGCCGGCUGUGUUACACAGACAGAGGAAGAGGCUGCAGGUAUUUGGUCUUCGCCACAGACGUAGAAGGAAAGGAGCAGACAGGAAAAACCAGCAGCUCCGUGCAUGAAAACUCUGACCAGGCCUCGGGCCUCAGACGGGGACCGGGCUGUUAUGUGGAGUAAAAGCGACAGACGCAGCGUGGGGUGGAAGGCUCUUCUUUAACGGGAACGUAAACUUGGAUCCAAACCUCACACACGGUCAGAGCGAGUCCGUGCGCGAUGUUGAGCGACCCAGUCCAGCACUUCCUGCUGAGGCCGCUGGUUUCUCCGAGAGGCCGGUGAGAACUGAGCUCCACCUGACCUCUGACCUCUCCAGGACCAUGCCGUCACCUCUCAGCUCAUCUCAGUCUGACCCAUCGGGACUCAAACGUCUCUGUUUGUGGCUCCAUCGCUGCUCCUCCCCUCCUCCUCCUCCUCUCCCCGUCAGCUGCGGCGACCUCUGCCCUCUGUCAGCAUCAUGCCGUCUCCCCCUGCUGGUGGCCCUGCUGCUCUGCGGCCUGCUGCUGAUGGUGCUGCUGCUGCUGUGGAACUACCACUGUGUGUUCAUCUCACGCCUCUGCUCCCCCCCGGGGGAGGAGGAGGGGGAUGUGGGGGAGAUGGGCUUGUGACCUCUGACUGUGUCAUUAAUGAUGGUGAUGGUGAUGAUGAUGAUGAUGAUGACGACGGCUCGGGAUGCUUUUCAGUUUUGAUAAAAAUGUAACAAUCAAAAUAAAAAAUCUUAAACGUGCCGAACUCAAAGGUUCCUUUUCUGAAUCUCGCAAACCGCCUCUUCUGUUCAUAUGAAGGGGCGUGGCCUUUACACGAUGGAACAUGAUGAAUGGUGUAACAGCCACCGGGGGGCGAUCCAAAUACGUCUCCCAUUAAUGAGUGGUGUUUUUACUGAUGUGCAUCUGAAGCCAGCGCGUACUUCCUGUUUCUGUGGCGGGCGUUCAUGUCAAACGCGUUAGUAAUGAUGAGGUCGUCAGAUCACUGCGCACUGCAUAGAAGGGGGAUUCAAAGUUCCUGUUCAGGAUGAGCAGCCAAUCAGAAUAAAGUUGCUCUGAAUGAGGGAGGAGCUAAAAAGCUUGCUUUAGCAGCUGCUGCAUGAAGAGAAGUAAAAACUCCUCCAUGCUGGUUUUCAGGACUGAUCACGUCCCGCAGGUUAAACACACCUGUGCCCCGUCCUCAGGCUGUAACACGCACACCUCCUCAGGUAAAGACCAGGCUCACAUACACACACAGUGCGAGAGCACGAGAGUGUAAAAAAAGCCUGCAGACACGUCAUUUUAAACCCUCCAUUACGGUUCUAUUCCUGUCUGCCAGCAGGGCGCCACGCCCAAAACCUCCACCACCGCCGCUGAUUUAUUUCCAGAGUCGCUUUGGUGCUGCUGAGGAGCCAAUCCAACACGUUUACUCAGGAACUGCUGCUGAAUGACACCUGAAUCAUAUUCACCCCCACUGCGACCUCUGAUGCCCCAGCAGGUCCCGGGGUUCUCCUGGACCUCCUGGAGGACCCUGGGAGCCUCCACUCUGUAAAGCCCAG